AAAAAAAAAAAAAAAUUGAGGGCAUUUCACCAUUGUUAACCGAGGGUACCCUUUACAUAUUAUCUGUUAACUAUUGUUAUAUAAUGUAUGCGUAGAUAGUUAUAUAUAUUUCUUCAUUUGCGUAUUUUGUGCAAUGCUGCUAAAUUCCAUGACUUUUUAUAUACGCACGGCUUUUCCCGCGUCCUCCCAAGCGCAUAAUAUCGCAACAACCAGUGUUGAAAUAGCGCUGACAUCGCGGUAACGCGUGAUUGCCUAUCUAGAUAAGAUGCGAUUCAGGGUUGAAUUAUUGUUGACGGGAAAGCGGGCAAAAAGUACGCAAUAACGCAAUACGCAUUGUGCUGUGCCUUCGUGUUCCAAAGGUGAUUAAGACUGAUUUGUUCAUUUUCGAAGCAAAAACUAGUGCGCACUAGUUCAGAGGUUAUCUUUUCUCUUCUUCUUUAAGUACACAAUUAUAUUAUGGAGUGUUGAAUGCGCUGUAUGGAUUUUUGAUCUUAAUAACUCUGCAACAAAUUGUUUGACAAAGAUAAUAAUUGUACAGAUAAUAAUUGUACAGACAAUGAUUUUGUAGAACGCUUUACACAAGUCAAAGAUUAAAGACUAAACUCUUGUAUACGCAUACCCUAAUACGCAUUGUGCUGUGCCUUCGUGUUCCAAAGGUGAUCAAGACUGAAAAUAGAUUUGUUCAUUUUCGAAGCAAAAACUAGUGCGAACUAGUUCAGAGGUUUCCGUUUUUACUCUUCUUCCAUUAAGUACACAAUUAUAUUAUGGAGUGUUGAAUGCACUAUAUGGAUUUUUGAUCUUAAAAACUCUGCAACAAAUUGUUUGACAAAGAUAAUAAUUGUACAGACAAUAAUUUUGUAGAACGCUUUACACAAGCCAAAGAUUAAAGACUAAACUCUCCUAUAAAAGAUUCCAGAAAUUCAAAGACAAAAGUAAUAAUCGAUUGCCACAUUGUCUCAAGCUUGAGCUAUUAUCCAUCCAUAGGUCCAUCAUCCAUAGAGAUUCCAAUAAAUUGGAUUUAUCAAAAUGAUGAAAAUAAUGGCUUCAUUUGUUGGUGGCCUAACACAAAAAAUAUCAGUUUGCUUAUUGAAAAUCGAGCUGAUCUGGAUAAGAAGUUAUGAUCAAUAUUUGACAUAACAGUGAUAAAAUAUUGUUGUAAGUCAAAUAACAAUAUAAACACAGGCUUAUUUUAAAGACCAACCAAAUAAGAAAACAAUUAUCGGCAAGCAUUGUUCGUCACUCGCAUCGGCGCGAAAAUCAGCUGCAGAUGCUCAUUAUACUACGACUGACGAUAAAAAAUGUGGCCGAGGGCAAAGAAAGUUAAAGAAAAAUGAAUACUAUUUUUCUCAGGAGCACGAUGAAAAGGAUUAUACUGAUGAUUCGAAUGAUGAAGAAAGAAAUGUGUGUGAUAAAGAAAAUUACGAUAAUGAAAAAAAUACAUAAAAAAAAAACAAUUAAAUAUUUGAAACAUAGUAUUAGUCGUCCGCCUGUUUUUAUUAAUCCUAUGCCUGAAUACAAUUCUCAGAAAAUAGAUAAUUGCUGCCAAUCUGUCAAUGCUUUCAGUACCGAUAAAAAUUUAAAUUUUGUUUCCAAAAAUACCGAUACUGAGAUUUCAUCAUCACACACAAAUAUCAACAAAUGUAGUUCUAAUGAAAGAGCAAUUCAAAAAACUCCAUAUCCUGAUAAGUCCUCAUCGUCUGUUACAAUGGAUAUUGACAGUAUUCCUAUUUUUGAAAUUCCAAAAGUACAAGCUGUUUACAAUAUUCUAUAACGGAUAGAAACAGAUUUAAAUAAAGUUAUACGUGCAAAUGUUACUACCAAUUUAGAGCUAAUGAAUAUCUCGAAAAGAUUAAGUAAAUUGGAAUCCCGUCAAUGUAAUAAUGCAGAAUUGAUAGAAAAUGAUAUGGUAAUGAUAAUACCAUUAUUGCCACUACAAAUUAGUGGAAUCCAUAAAAGAAUUCGAAAAUUUUAUCAUAUCAAACGAAGUUGCUGCAUCGCAAUUUUGAAUGCAGUUAUCCAUGGAAUAAGAAUCGGUUUACUUUUUGAGAAAAAUGAAGUAAACAGUAAUAAAGAGAAAAAAAAUUGAUUCUAAAAAUUGGAGGCAACGCUCCACGAAAUAGCAUUCAUUAUGCUUUAGAACGAAUUAUCAGCAAUAAAUGCGCUAUGAACUGUUCCUGGAAAGGCGUUCGAUUAAAUUAUAAAAUAUGUGAUUUAAUAUUUAUUAAGAAUAUACCUGAUACCAUAUGUUCUGUACAUUCAGGUUUAACUGAAGCCGAAUUUGACAUAACCGCUGCGAAAUGAUUCCGAUUUGCUAAGCAACGAGCAACGCGGGAAGAAAAAAAAAUAAUCUGUAAUAAUCUGUAUAUCUACAGAUUAUUACAAUACAUGGUGCUAUUUAUAAUUUUAUGUUAGGCUAUUCAAGCAUAGAUCCAGUUUUUGUUUUCUUAGAUAGUCUUAAUUAUUUUAAAAAUUUGAUAAAAAAUGGUCAUUUUUGGUUAUUAUUUUUAUACGUGAAGGUUUUUAUACGGUUUGGUUAUUAUUUUUAUACGUUACUUUUUGUUACUGUUUCUGUCAAAAAGCAGUCACUAUUUUAUUUUUUUUUUGGUCCGAUGACUGGAUGGCAGCGCUGUGUUUCUAAUAUACGAUGCUUUCCAGCAAACUCUACCUCCUUAACAAGUGCACAAUAAAGUGUUCAGGGACAC
Molecule: long non-coding RNA, 2702 nt
Organism: Camponotus floridanus (Florida carpenter ant)
Lineage: Eukaryota; Metazoa; Arthropoda; Insecta; Hymenoptera; Formicidae
Exons: 13
Source: RefSeq, a predicted model, not a curated record